RNAcentral lists this ribosomal RNA (268 nucleotides) under uncultured microorganism. RNAcentral's name for it is "partial 16S ribosomal RNA". It matches the Rfam family "Bacterial small subunit ribosomal RNA", at positions 9 to 261 of the family's 1533-position model. The record is from RNAcentral.
GAGUUUGAUCGUGGCUCAGGAUGAACGCUAGCGGCAGGCUUAACACAUGCAAGUCGAGGGGCAUCGGGAGGGAAGCUUGCUUUCCUUGCCGGCGACCGGCGCACGGGUGAGUAACACGUAUGCAACCUGCCCUCUUCAGGGGACGGGGGGGGGAACCUUCCGAAAGGGAGGCUAAUCCCGCGUAUAUCGGUUUCGGGCAUCCGUUAUCGAGGAAAGAUUCAUCGGAAGAGGAUGGGCAUGCGGCGCAUUAGCUAGACGGCGGGGUAAC